GGCUUUCCACAGUGGCCUUAUUGUAGCCAGUGAGGUUUAUCCAAGGCACGAUUAUUGUUAAUUGAAACUUUAUCAAUGACUACAAGCACAUCUGUCAUUGGCAUGUCCUCUAGCAU
This 116-nucleotide small nuclear RNA is filed under the name Chinchilla lanigera (long-tailed chinchilla). RNAcentral's name for it is "U4 spliceosomal RNA (ENSCLAG00000021175.1)". The stretch from base 1 to 81 matches the Rfam family "U4 spliceosomal RNA". Rfam says of the family: U4 small nuclear RNA (U4 snRNA) is a component of the major U2-dependent spliceosome. The structure of U4 snRNA from yeast and human has been reported. The record is from RNAcentral. Lineage: Eukaryota; Metazoa; Chordata; Mammalia; Rodentia; Chinchillidae.